Molecule: ribosomal RNA, 498 nt
Filed under: uncultured Glomeromycotina
Lineage: Eukaryota; Fungi; Glomeromycota
Description: partial small subunit ribosomal RNA
Rfam family: Eukaryotic small subunit ribosomal RNA
Source: RNAcentral
CCAAUAGCGUAUAUUAAAGUUGUUGCAGUUAAAAAGCUCGUAGUUGAAUUUCGGAAUCAAUAUAUCGGUCGUGCCUUGGUACGUACUGGUAUCAUUGGUUUCUCCUUUCUGACGAACCAUGAUGUCAUUAAUUUGGUGUUAUGGGAAGUUAGGACUGUUACUUUGAAAAAAUUAGAGUGUUUAAAGCAGGCUUUAGCUUGAAUACAUUAGCAUGGAAUAAUGAAAUAGGACGUUCGAACCUAUUUUGUUGGUUUCUAGGAUCAACGUAAUGAUUAAUAGGGAUAGUUGGGGGCAUUAGUAUUCAAUUGUCAGAGGUGAAAUUCUUGGAUUUAUUGAAGACUAACUACUGCGAAAGCAUUUGCCAAGGAUGUUUUCAUUAAUCAAGAACGAAAGUUAGGGGAUCGAAGACGAUCAGAUACCGUCGUAGUCUUAACCAUAAACUAUGCCGACUAGGGAUCGGAUGAUGUUAAUUUUUUAAUGACUCAUUCGGCGCCUUAC